CCUACGGGAGUCAGCAGUGAGGAAUAUUGGUCAAUGGGCGCGAGCCUGAACCAGCCAAGUCGCGUGAGGGAUGAAGGUUCUAUGGAUCGUAAACCUCUUUUAUAAGGGAAUAAAGUGUGGGACGUGUCCUAUUUUGUAUGUACCUUAUGAAUAAGGAUCGGCUAACUCCGUGCCAGCAGCCGCGGUAAUCCGGAGGAUCCGAGCGUUAUCCGGAUUUAUUGGGUGUAAAGGGUGCGUAGGCGGCCUUGUAAGUCAGCUGUGAAAGUCUGUGGGUCAACCAUAGAAUUGCCGUUGAAACUGGGGGGCUUGAGUAUGUUUGAGGCAGGCGGAAUGCGGGGUGUAGCGGUGAAAUGCGUAGAUAUCGCGCAGAACCC
RNAcentral lists this ribosomal RNA (374 nucleotides) under uncultured bacterium. RNAcentral describes it as "partial 16S ribosomal RNA". It matches the Rfam family "Bacterial small subunit ribosomal RNA", at positions 338 to 709 of the family's 1533-position model. The record is from RNAcentral.